GUUUGUAUCCCUGAGAGGUGGGAAGCACAGUGGGUUUGUAUCCCUGAGAGGUGGGAAGCACAGUGGGUUUGUAUCCCUGAGAGGUGGGAAGCAUGGUCAGCAGGGAUUCCAUGGUCUAAUCCCCCUCUGGCGGUCCCCUCUGGCGGUCCCCUCUGGCGGUCCCCUCUGGCGGUCCCCUCUGGCGGUCCCCUCUGGCGGAUUGGGAAUCUAAAAAGUUGACUGAGGUUUUCUGAACCUUAGAAAUGUGUGUGAGUGUGUGAGUGUGUGAGUGUGUGAGUGUGUGUGUGUGUGUGUGUGUGUGUGUGUGGAGCAGGCUAUAGUCAGUUUGGUUCCAGGGGCAUGUUCAUGAGGCCUACUGCUGUAGGAAAGAAACUGUUCUUGGGGUGAGAGGUUUUGGUCCUGACAGACCUCUGCCAGAGGGGAGGGUUCUGGAUAGUCCAUCUACAGGAUGAGGGAUCAGCCCCAAUCAUUGCAGCUCGCCUCUGUGUCCUGGAGGUGUGUAGGUCUUGUAGACACCGCAGAUUGCAGCCAAUCAUCCUCUCUGCAGAUCCUGCAAUGCAGCCUGGCCUUGUCUUUGGCUGUGGCUGCAGUGUACCAGGCAGUGAUGGAGGAGGUCAGGAUGGACCCGGAUGAUGGCAGUGUAGAAAUGCCCACAUCAUCGUCUUUGGCAGGUUGAACUCUUUCAGCUGCCGCAGGAAGUACAUCCUCUGCUGAGCUUUCAUUGUAAGUGAGGUGAUGUUCAGCUCCCACCUGAGGUCCUGGGUGAUGGUGGUGCCCAGAAAGCGAAAGGACUCCACAGAGUUGACUGGGGAACCACCCAGGGUGAUGGGUGAAGGGCAGCUGGGCUUCUCCUGAAGUCCACCAUCAUCUCCACGGUCUUUAGGGUGUUGAGCUCCAAGAUGUUCUGACUGCACAAGGACACCAGAUGAUCAAUCUCCCACCUGUAGGUGGCAGAGUUUAUGCUAGACGUUUUUUGACGGUCAUAAAUUCCUAGAAUUCUGGCCAUAUAGAACAGCUACCAGACAUAUGUUUUAAAUAGCCAAAUAAUAGACAACAUUUAAACAGCAAUAAAACACAAACGCUAUGAUCCAACAAAUAAAUGAACUCUUCACAAUCUUUGCAAACUGAGCAUUUAAGUUACAACUAGGGCUGUUGCAUUUAUUACAUAAUUGCCUGAUUGAAAUGAUUUGAGCCAGAUCCUUAUUAUUUUUAUAAACAACAAUCUUUUUGCACAAUAUUUUGAUUCCAAAAUAAUGUUUCCAAUCUAAACAAGGGAUUUUGAGGCCAGUGUUAGAAAUAUCUCAACAAAUUCCAUGCAAAUUAGGUCAGUUUCCAUAGGAUGUCGGCGUGUUUGACAGCACUGCUGAAAGUUAAAGGUGCAGAUCAUUUACGGAAACUCGUUUGCUUAAAAAUUUCUGUAUGUUUAAGUCUAGUUUAGAACUGUUUUGCAAUGGCUUGAUCACCUUGGGCAGAAAGGCCGGGUUAGGGAGAAACACACCCCUGCUGCCAUCGCCGUUGAUUGCGUGACAGCCAGGCUGCGUCGACAGCGCACAAAGGUCACUGACCCUCUUAGCAGAGGUCAGAGCCAACAAAAGUGCCUUCUUAAGGGACAGCAUCCUCAACGAUAUCUGAUCAAUAGGUUCAAACGGCACGUCGCACAGUGCCUCCAGAACCAAAGCCAAAUCCCACUGUGACAACGUCCGCCGAGCCACCGGCCAGAGACGACGGGACCCGGCCAGAAACCGUUUCACCAAGGGAUGACUGAAUACAGACACUCCACUGAACCCUUCUAAAUACAGACACUCCACUGAACCCUUCUAAAUACAGACACUCCACUGAACCCUUCUAAAUACAGACACUCCACUGAACCCUUCGUGACACACUGAGAUCACACACGCGUACACCUUGAGCGUGCCGGGGGAUCUUUGCUGAUCAAACAGACGCUGCAGGAACGACAGGACACUGCCCACGUCACAACACAGGGGGUCAACCACCACGUCAUCACACCAGUGGGCAAAGAUCCCCCAACGGCUAGCAUAGGGUUAGGGUUAGCAUAGCCAGCCGACGUGGAGGCCGUUCGCCUGUGUCAGUGCCCCGUCCGUGGCGGUAAGGGCUUGGCCAUGGCGUCCCCACCGCCUUCUGAGCCGCCUCUGCAAACCACCGGGCACCCUGGUGAAAAGGAGCGAUCAGGAUGAGCAACAGCCUCUCCGUCCGCACCACAGAGGGGCAGUGUGCAUCCUCCUGGGUUUGGAAACACAUCCACCUGCGCCUUCCCAAAACGUCUCCAGACCUCAACUACAAUGUCGGGAUGAAGAUGCCACUAGUCAUCCCGGGGACCUUCCUGAGACAGCAACUCGGCCCCCACAUUGAGCUCUCCGGGAAUGUGAAGAGCCCUCAGAGACCUGAGGUGCACCUGCGCUUGAGGAUGGCCGCCGAAGCCCUUGCCACCUCACUCACCUCCACUGGAGACAGCGAGGUGUGACCCUCGGUUAUCCCGGCCACGGCCGCCGCCAGGAGGCCCACGUUGUUGCAGACCGCCAGGGACUGCGCCAGGGACCGCCAGGGACUGCGCCAGGGACCGCCAGGGACUGCGCCAGGGACCGCCAGGGUCUGCACCAGGGACCGCCAGGGACUGCACCAGGGACCGACAGGGCCUGCACCAGGGACCGACAGGGCGUAUUGCUUUUCCACCAGGUGCCAUCGCAAGCAUGCAGCAGUGUGCACGUCGACUGCCGCGUCGAGCUCGCUACACCGGCAUGCAGACAGGGAAGUCGGCGGGCGGGGCGCCGGGCUAGCAGGGACCGCUCCAGUGGUCGAAGAUGGUGAAGCCAUCCUUGGCUUAAUAGAAAUCAUGGUAGACUCCAUACUUAAACCUUUCUCGUGAAGAAAAAACAGAGACUGAGCAGAGUGUGAGAACCUCUUUUAUAGCCAUGGGGCAGAUGUCCAUGAGAGGUGUGAUUUUUCAGUGAUUGCGUAUUGGCAGAGGGGUAAACCAAUAGGCGCGAAGCCCCUAUGGGCAAAGCUUCACAAAGUAGAACUGUUGAAAAGCCAGUCAGGGGGUCAGACAAGUACUUCCCCAGGCUCACGUGCUGCCUACCUGUUGGACAGGAAGACUGUGAUCCACCUGCAUGUGGACUUGGGCGCUCCCAGUUGGGAGUGCUUGUCUUGGAGCAAGGCGUCAAUUAUGGUGUUGAAUGCGGAACUGAAGCCCACAAACAGGAUUCUGGCAUAGGUUGCAGGGGAGUCCAGGUGCUGGAGGACGUGAAGUGCCAUGUUGACCACAUUGUCCACAGACCUGUUGGCUCUGUAGGCAAACUGUAGAGGGUCGGUGAUUGUCUGGAGAUGGGACAGUACAAGGUGCUCAAAUUACUUCAAAACCACAGAGGACAGGGUGACGGGUCUGUAGUCAUUAAGUCCGGUGGUCCUUGGCUUCUUGGGGACUGAGAUGAUGAUGGAGGACUUGAAAAAGCCCAGGAUGCAGUGAGGUGUUGAAGAUGUCCGUAAACACAGCAGGACGCUGAUCUGCUCAGUGCUUUAGGGUGGAAGGAGACACUGUCAGACCUGCUGCUUUGUGAGGGUUCUGUGUCUUGAAUAGUCUGUUAACGUACAAUGGAUUUAAAGUAAAAUUGUAGUGGCAGAGGUGGGGAUGAUUGGGAUGGGUGAAUGUGAAUGGGCCCCGAUGAUUGGGAUGGGUGAAUGUGAAUGGGUCCCAAUGGUGGGGAUGAUUGGGAUGAGUGUAACUGUAAUAAAGUGUUAUUGUGGUGCAGUGGUUGUUUUUAUUAAUUAGAUCUAGCUUUUAAGAAUGGCCCAUUGCACUCGAAAGAAAAUGUUGGUGGAGAUGGCUUUGAAACGCAGACGCCAAGAUCAAGUUUCUUGUGGGGAUAUGCCUUGCAAAAUGCAGCCAAAUGCAGCCAAAAUACUCCUUGCAAAAGAACUAGAAAAGAAAAAGUGGACAAUUCUGGACAAUUAUAAGGAUAUAAGUUCUCCUGAUAAUGUGCUGUUUUACGGAACAAAUUAUCUCCUCCUUACCAGCACACCUGACUCCACCCGUCUUCCAGUCACACCUGACUCCACCCGUCUUCCAGUCACACCUGACUCCACCCGUCUUCCAGUCACACCUGACUCCACAUUUGCUCCAGUCACACCAGACUCCACCCUUCCUCCAGUCACACCAGACUC
Esox lucius (northern pike) is the source of this 4179-nucleotide long non-coding RNA. The record is from Ensembl. NCBI's taxonomy places the organism in Eukaryota, Metazoa, Chordata, Actinopteri, Esociformes, Esocidae.